This 497-nucleotide ribosomal RNA is filed under the name uncultured bacterium. RNAcentral describes it as "partial 16S ribosomal RNA". It matches the Rfam family "Bacterial small subunit ribosomal RNA", at positions 28 to 507 of the family's 1533-position model. The record is from RNAcentral.
GAUGAACGCUGGCGGCGUGCCUAAUACAUGCAAGUCGAGCGAACGGACGAGAAGCUUGCUUCUCUGAUGUUAGCGGCGGACGGGUGUGUAACACGUGGAUAACCUACUUAUAAGACUGGGAUAACUUCGGGAAACCGGAGCUAAUACCGGAUAAUAUUUUGCACCGCAUGGUUCAAAAGUGAAAGACGGUCUUGCUGUCACUUAUAGCUGGAUCCGCGCUGCAUUAGCUAGUUGGUAAGGUAACGGCUUACCAAGGCAACGAUGCAUAGCCGACCUGAGAGGGUGAUCGGCCACACUGGAACUGAGACACGGUCCAGACUCCUACGGGAGGCAGCAGUAGGGAAUCUUCCGCAAUGGGCGAAAGCCUGACGGAGCAACGCCGCGUGAGUGAUGAAGGUCUUCGGAUCGUAAAGCUCUGUUAUUAGGGAAGAACAGAUGUGUAAGUAACUGUGCACAUCUUGACGGUACCUAAUCAGAAAGCCACGGCUAACUACGUG